RNAcentral lists this non-coding RNA (28 nucleotides) under Bombyx mori (domestic silkworm). The record is from RNAcentral. Lineage: Eukaryota; Metazoa; Arthropoda; Insecta; Lepidoptera; Bombycidae.
UAUGAAUCAAUGAAGGCUGUGCGCGUGC